GAGGGUGUAGCUCAGUGGUAUAGAGUGCAUGCCUGUCAUGCACAAGAUGCUGGGUUCAAUCCCCAGUACCUCCA
This 74-nucleotide transfer RNA is filed under the name Camelus bactrianus (Bactrian camel). It matches the Rfam family "tRNA". Rfam says of the family: Transfer RNA (tRNA) molecules are approximately 80 nucleotides in length. Their secondary structure includes four short double-helical elements and three loops (D, anti-codon, and T loops). Further hydrogen bonds mediate the characteristic L-shaped molecular structure. tRNAs have two regions of fundamental functional importance: the anti-codon, which is responsible for specific mRNA codon recognition, and the 3' end, to which the tRNAs corresponding amino acid is attached (by aminoacyl-tRNA synthetases). tRNAs cope with the degeneracy of the genetic code in two manners: having more than one tRNA (with a specific anti-codon) for a particular amino acid; and 'wobble' base-pairing, i.e. permitting non-standard base-pairing at the 3rd anti-codon position. The record is from Rfam by way of RNAcentral. RNAcentral also lists the same sequence under 2 other names. Lineage: Eukaryota; Metazoa; Chordata; Mammalia; Artiodactyla; Camelidae.